RNAcentral lists this ribosomal RNA (465 nucleotides) under uncultured bacterium. RNAcentral's name for it is "partial 16S ribosomal RNA". It matches the Rfam family "Bacterial small subunit ribosomal RNA", at positions 338 to 795 of the family's 1533-position model. The record is from RNAcentral.
CCUACGGGUGGCAGCAGUGGGGAAUAUUGCGCAAUGGGCGAAAGCCUGACGCAGCGACGCCGCGUGAGGGAUGAAGGUCUUCGGAUCGUAAACCUCUGUCAGCAGGGAAGAACGGUCACUGUGCUAAUCAGCAGUGAAUUGACGGUACCUGCAAAGGAAGCACCGGCUAACUCCGUGCCAGCAGCCGCGGUAAUACGGAGGGUGCGAGCGUUAAUCGGAAUUACUGGGCGUAAGGCGCUCGUAGGCGGUAUGUCAAGUCACGGGUGAAAUCCCCGGGCUCACCGUGGGAACUGCCUUUGAAACUGGCAAACUGGAGUGUGUGAGAGGAUAGUGGAAUGCCAGGUGUAGGAGUGAAAUGCGUAGAUAUCUGGAGGAACAUCAGUGGCGAAGGCGACUAUCUGGCACAUAACUGACGCUGAGGAGCGAAAGCGUGGGUAGCAAACAGGAUUAGAUACCCCGGUAGUC